UUUUUUUUCUUUUUUAGGAAUAGAUUUUUUUAAACCUUCCAUUAGCAUGACCAAUAAAACUAAAUAAAAUAGAAGUAUACGAACAAAAAUAAAAAUUGAGUCAGACCAUACAGUUUGUGGUCAAUUUGUAAGUUCUGGAAUUGUAUAAUUUGAAUCCAGUUCUGACACUGACUAAUGAGCUUAGAUGAAUUAUUUAACAGGUAUAAACUUCACUUUCUCCAUAUGUACGAACUAGGUUAAUAGUAGUACCAACCACUUGGACUGUUAAAAGCUAAAAGAGAUAGCAGUUGGAAAGCAUUUAUCAUAGAAUCUGGCAGGAAGUACAUUUUCACUAAAUCUUUGGUAUUAUUACCAUUUUAAACUUCAGCUGGCUAAACAUCUUUAUCAAAGUAUCUUCCGGUGAGUGUAAGUCUUUAACCAAUAUCUCACAUGGGUUUGCCAAGAAUCUACUAAGCUAGCAGUAUCACAGUCAUAAAUAUUCAUUAUGUUGCUGAUAUAGCCUAUCUUAGGGUCGUUCCCUAGAAACAGAGCCCAGGCAAAAGCAGAUGUGCUAAUGCUUUAUUGAGGAAUGCUAUCCAGAAACAUAGGCAUGAGGGAAAAAGGGUUGAAGAUCAAAUACAAAUAGUCCUGGACACACAGUUUCACGAUGAACUGAUUGCUCAUUUUUACAAGAUAGCUUUAGUGUGCAUUUAUGAAGCUACUUAGUCUCUAAACAGUCUUUUUAUGAUGGAGAAAGAGAGUAGAAUUUAUCUACCAGCCCUCUCAUUGUUCAAAAUUUGCCCCAAGGGCAUUAUUAACACUUGUAAGUUGCACACACACAGGUUCCCAGUAGAUCCCUUAGUGUCUUGCUUCUCAGAUAGGGAAACCACAGGGCUAGAACAAGAGGUCAGUGAGGAGGUGAGCUGAUGUUUUAGGGGCAUGCCCAUGAAUAACAUAGGAAAUAGAAAAUAGCUACCACAGUAAGCUUAUUUGUCUGUAGAAGCAGGGACACCUCCCUUCAGACAGCAAGACAAAUGCGUGGAAUUGGAGCAGUGCAUAAACUGACUCUGAUAUACACGCUAGCUAAAGGAACUCAGAGUUAAGGGAUAUAGGACUAAAAAUCCCUAGACAAAUCAAAUCAUAUCUCUUUCUCUUCUAAAUUAGCUGGGUCUGGGGUAUAUCAAGUUUCCCUGAAUAUCUGAAGCACUCACAAACAAACUCUAUAUGAGCAUCUCCAUUAAACUCCCAGAAAUCUGGUACUAUAAUUGGUCUUCAAUUUUUUCAAAUGCCAUUUCAUUCUCUGUCAAGUAAAUGAGCAAGAAUGUCAAACAUUGAACCCCCCCGAAAAAAAAAAUUUAACUGAAACAAAAACAGUGCAGUUAGAAAACAUGCUAUACAGGAAGAAAAGAACCUACCUCAUCAACUGUUUUCAAAAACUAUGCUAAAAGUUCCUCAUAUUAAAUAACUUGUAGACAAAAGUACCUUUAAGGCUUCUGUAUAAGUUAAUAUUUGGUAUAUAUUUUACUAAGAUACAAACCAGAGCUAUUUGGGGGUAUAUCAUAUAACUAAGAAUUAUUUACUUUACCUCAAAGAAAAUAAAAUAAUGGGAAAGUUUUUAAGAUGUAUUCUUAUUAACUUUGAAUGGAAAAAGAAGUUGGGAUGAAAGUAUUAAGAUUUUUGGAAGAUAAUGCUUAGCUCAGAAGGAUCCUGCCUUAAUCUGUUAGAUUGGCUUCAACCAAAGCUAGAUAAAUUGCCACUGUAGUAAGGUAACUUUGACUGGAAAAUGGACAAAAAUAACAUUAGUUUUAGAAAUUAGAAAGACUUAAAGGGCCAGUGGUAGACUAUAUAAUUUGGAAUAGUUCUCUGCUAUGUAUUAGAAAGUUUGGACAAAAUAUAUAAAACAUCUUUAAGACAUAGGGAAAUGUUAGAGAAAAGUUACUAGUUCAGAAUCUUGAGAUACAAAAGAGAACCAGAAAAGUGUGCCCACCUUUGUAACCACUUUUCACCUUUUCUCCCCUAAUUUGAAAGAGGAAGAAUGAGAGAGUGAGUGGUGUCCUUCCUUGAUAGAACAUUAACAGCCCAGAGCCUGCCUAAGGGAGCUCCCAGUUUAAUCUUUACCUUCAGUUAAAACCCUGGAAGACUGUACAUUUAGAUGAUAAGGGUGAAGGACAAGGAUAAGAAUGAAGUGUAGUGGAUAGCACUUACAGGAAUCACAGCUCAGUUUAAAAUCAUCGCAAUAUAUGAUGUUGGAUUAAGAUGAUUUCCCAAUCUUGUUAAUGCUCCCAGAUGCUUAGUAAAUCCUCUCUGGAAAUUAGAACACUAUCUUCUUUUCUAGAAUGUUUUUAAGGAGAAUCUGUAAACACAUUAUCUGGGAAUGAGGGUUUGGGGGAAAACAGACACAGAAAAUAAUGCUACUGAAAAGUAGCAAAAACAAACCAUAGAAACAAAUAGGAAGUCCAAAUUUUUAGUUAAUACUUACUCAGCUCAAGGAUAUAAAAGAUAAGAUUUUAAACUUAAGCAAAGAACUGAAAUCUCGUUCUUAAAAUAGAAAUUUCAGAACAAUCAAAAAACUAAUUACCAAAAUUCAGAUCUCAAUGAACAGGUCUUACAAUAAAUUAAAAAUAAUUGAAGAGAGAAUUAGCAAACUGAGAUGUAGGUCAGAAGAAAAUUUUCAGAAUGAAGUAUGGAGAGACUAAAGAAUGAAAAAUACAGAAAAGAAAAUAAGAAUUAUAAAAAGACAGUAUAAAACCCUAACACAGGGAUGCUUGGGUGACUCAGUCGAUUAAGUGUCCCGACUAUUGAUUUUGGCUUAGGUGGUGAUCUCAGGGUCACCAUGAGAUUGAGCCCCAUCUUGGGCUCUGCACAGAGCUUGGAACCUGCUUAAGA
This 2865-nucleotide long non-coding RNA is filed under the name Canis lupus familiaris (dog). RNAcentral's name for it is "lncRNA (ENSCAFG00000054872.1, ENSCAFG00845017729.1)". The record is from RNAcentral. Lineage: Eukaryota; Metazoa; Chordata; Mammalia; Carnivora; Canidae.